This 758-nucleotide long non-coding RNA is filed under the name Bos taurus (domestic cattle). Its description in RNAcentral is "long non-coding RNA NONBTAT001782". The record is from RNAcentral. Lineage: Eukaryota; Metazoa; Chordata; Mammalia; Artiodactyla; Bovidae.
UACCAAAUUAUUUGUAAAAAGUCUUUUUGAACAGCUAUAAAAUGUUUAAAAACUGUGGCAGAUGCAGUUAUCACACAUCCACUUGAUAGUGAAAGCAGAAACCCAACAAGUUUUACCUAAUUCUUGCACUGAAUUUAAAUAAUAUAAAGUUAAGUUAAAUGUGCAUUUUAAACAGAAUUUAUUUCUCAUUUAUUGGUUAGCAUAGAACAAUGCUUAGUGUUAGAGAGUUGAUCACAAGAUUGGUUUUAGAAGGAAGACGGUAAGAAAGCAGAAGCACCUUACUGGGGAGCAUGUUGCAUUCAUUUAGUGCUACUGAACAAUUCAGUAGUGAUUUCUGAACUUUGCUGCAAAGUGCUCUUUAUUUAAAGCACAUAAAAAGAGUCUCUGCUUAAUUGCUUUGUAAAGUGAAGCAAUGGUAUUUUUUAUCCUAUAAAUAUAGUCUAAUUUAAAAGUUUUUCCUACAAAAUGAGUUUAUAUUGCCGCCUAAACUAUCAUCUAUGUAAACAAAGGAUUUUUUAAAAGGCGAGAGAGGGAGUCUGGAUUGUGAGAACUCUUGAAGCAGCUUGUUGUGAGAGUAAGGAGGAAGUUUGGGGUUUUCUGGUCAGGUGUGACUAAGAGAGGCUCCAAUUGGUGAGUUCAGGAAAGUCUCUGGAAAGUGAUUUGAGAUGUAUAGAAAAGGUAUGGGUGUUGGUUAAAGAGUUCAGUUUUAAGAAGGGAAGUUUUGUUUUUUAAACUUGCAUGUUCUAUGGUUAACUAUC